RNAcentral lists this ribosomal RNA (497 nucleotides) under uncultured bacterium. RNAcentral's name for it is "partial 16S ribosomal RNA". It matches the Rfam family "Bacterial small subunit ribosomal RNA", at positions 28 to 507 of the family's 1533-position model. The record is from RNAcentral.
GAUGAACGCUGGCGGCGUGCCUAAUACAUGCAAGUCGAGCGAACAGAUAAGGAGCUUGCUCCUUUGACGUUAGCGGCGGACGGGUGAGUAACACGUGGGUAACCUACCUAUAAGACUGGAAUAACUCCGGGAAACCGGGGCUAAUGCCGGAUAACAUUUAGAACCGCAUGGUUCUAAAGUGAAAGAUGGUUUUGCUAUCACUUAUAGAUGGACCCGCGCCGUAUUAGCUAGUUGGUAAGGUAACGGCUUACCAAGGCAACGAUACGUAGCCGACCUGAGAGGGUGAUCGGCCACACUGGAACUGAGACACGGUCCAGACUCCUACGGGAGGCAGCAGUAGGGAAUCUUCCGCAAUGGGCGAAAGCCUGACGGAGCAACGCCGCGUGAGUGAUGAAGGUCUUCGGAUCGUAAAACUCUGUUAUUAGGGAAGAACAAAUGUGUAAGUAACUGUGCACGGCUUGACGGUACCUAAUCAGAAAGCCACGGCUAACUACGUG